Molecule: small nucleolar RNA, 106 nt
Organism: Beta vulgaris subsp. vulgaris (sugar beet)
Lineage: Eukaryota; Viridiplantae; Streptophyta; Magnoliopsida; Caryophyllales; Amaranthaceae
Rfam family: Plant small nucleolar RNA R71
About the family: R71 is a member of the C/D box family of snoRNAs containing the C (UGAUGA) and D (CUGA) box motifs. Multiple nearly identical copies of this snoRNA have been identified in Arabidopsis, and it is thought to function as a 2'-O-ribose methylation guide for 18S ribosomal RNA.
Source: Rfam
AGAUUAUGGUGUGGGAAUUCUCUCUGCAGAUCCUUGAACCUAUUACAUGCUUCCUUCAACGUCUCAUCAGGUUCUUGUUGCAAGGUAGCAGGCUUAUGUCUAAUUU